AGAGUUUGAUCCUGGCUCAGAAUCAACGCUGGCGGCGCGCUUAACACAUGCAAGUCGCACGAGAAAGUGGAGCAAUCCAUGAGUAAAGUGGCGUACGGGUGAGUAACACGUGGAUCAUCUACCUUUUAGUGGGGAAUACCCCCGGGAAACUGGGGACAAUACCGCAUAAGCUCGUAAGAGGAAAGCCGAAAGGCGCUGAAAGAGGAGUCCGCGGCUGAUUAGCUAGUUGGCGGGGUAACGGCCCACCAAGGCGAAGAUCGGUAGCCGGCCUGAGAGGGCACACGGCCACACUGGCACUGAAACACGGGCCAGACUCCUACGGGAGGCAGCAGUGGGGAAUCUUGCACAAUGGAGGAAACUCUGAUGCAGCGACGCCGCGUGAGCGAUGAAGCCCUUCGGGGUGUAAA
This 407-nucleotide ribosomal RNA is filed under the name uncultured bacterium. RNAcentral describes it as "bacterial SSU rRNA". It matches the Rfam family "Bacterial small subunit ribosomal RNA", at positions 8 to 429 of the family's 1533-position model. The record is from RNAcentral.